AAAAACUUWGGAUAUUAAAWCCAAGGGCCUUCAAAGCCCUAAAAAAGGGUGCAAUCCCC
Molecule: transfer RNA, 59 nt
Filed under: Anolis distichus dominicensis
Lineage: Eukaryota; Metazoa; Chordata; Lepidosauria; Squamata; Anolidae
Description: partial tRNA-Trp
Source: RNAcentral